Molecule: long non-coding RNA, 2268 nt
Organism: Equus asinus (donkey)
Lineage: Eukaryota; Metazoa; Chordata; Mammalia; Perissodactyla; Equidae
Source: Ensembl
GCCCUCUGUAGUGUCCACGCUGGCUCCACUUUCUUUCUGUGUUCUACCAUUAGGAUUACUUCCAGCCAACCUCUUGCCUUCAAAGUUUUCAGGUGCCUACUUUGAUGACUUGUUACCCUAGUGCCUUUGAUCUCCACUGUAGAAAAUGCUCUGCUCCAUUUCAGAACAGAUUGCCAUGUGCCCCAUUCUCUGGCCUUUGGAGCAAACCAGCGACAGACCUCACAGAUAGAAAUCCACCAUUGCCCAUUCACAAAGAGAGUUCUCCUAGUAAGGGGAGUGAAUGUGAUGAUCCAUAUUUCCUGGAAAAUCUUCCUAGAGGCCUGAGAUGAUAAAUAUUGCCUGUUCCAGAACAGUUUGCUUUGCAGACCAGGAUGGAUUUUGGAGAGGGAAUAUUAUUCUUGGGAGACAGAAAAAUUGCAACUUGCCAGUUGAUUGACCUCCAUAUGUUCUCUACUCUGCGUUCCACAUUGACUGUGUGCUACACUGUGCGUGUAGAGAUUGCUGACUAUUUACAAGACACUGUUCCAUAUUGGAGACACUUGUGAGCAAAUUUGACAUGUCUGCUUCCUCCUGUCUUUUCUUCUACGUCAUACUCAUUGUGAGUAAUUACGAACAUCCAUAUGGGGGAGCCACUUUGAAGUUCUGCACAAAAACAACACAUGACCCUAAAGAUGAAAAAAAUAACUUCCUUCCAUCACAAAGAGUUCGCGUUUUCCUCUACAUUCUAUUUUGUGAAAAGGAAAUGAGGACUUGAGUGAAUCUUAAGGUUUUUUUUCUCCAAAAUAUGGAUAUUAAAUCAGAAACCAAACAAGAAGCAAAGAACAAAAGCCACAGCAACGCAACAGCAACAAAAAAAACGAGGAGUCUUCUGGUUCAAUCCAACGCAGUAACCUGUAUGAUAGGUAACAAUGGUAAUUAUUCCAUAUAUACUCUUUCUAUUAAUAGAAGAAAUGCAAAGAGGAAGAAGUGGACAUCCACUGGCUUCCCUUUAGCUAUUGUGGCCGUCUAUAAAAAGAGAAUUGGAGAAGAGAAUAAUUAUCUCCUUAUUUGGUUCAGGUAAACAGUCAUUUUUUAUUUUCAUAAAGACACUACAAAACAAAAGGCAUUAUUGCAGAAAACUUGGGGUUGUUACUAAAUUAUCAGAUAAUCUCUUCUACUCUACUUUGCUAUUGAUGAAUGUUUUACCUAUUGUCCCCAAUAAUUGUGUAUGGCUAUGUUCCAAAGGAAAUAAAAAUAAUAUUCGGCUUAUGCAUGCUUUUUAUUAGCCAUAUUCUAAGAAGAUUUUUUUUUCCAAAACAAGUUUAGUAGUCAUGCUUUCUAUUUUUAAUUUGUAUUUAACACUCCAUUUCAGUUCUCACCAUUCAUGUGCUCUGUGUUUACCUGCUUCACUUAGACAGGUCUGUUGCCCUUUCUGUUUUAUAGAAAACGUUGCCACCUGUUCCCAAUGCCAUAACAGCCUGCCAUGGGGUUUAGGUUUACAGCAAUACUCACAAAUUUUCCGGGGCGGGGGGGGAGGUGGCAAAGAAAGUAAAGAAAAAGAAAAAAAAAAUGAACUAUGCCAAAUGAAAUUCAAGUUAACUAAGGGAAAAUUCUCAAGUUAGCAAAGCAUUUUUAUUACACACUGUAAAAUGAAGCUUGAAUUUCCUAAAAAUGUAUUUGUUGCUAUAUCUACUAUUAAUAUUAUUAAGUCUUUUUCUCUUUACAGAGUGCUUGGUCUUUGAGAGUUUUACGUUGACGUCACCUGCAUUAGUGAGAUCAGUCUAGAAAAAGCAGCAUUAAGACCAUUUUACAUUAAAAAGAAACCAACUCAAUUGAAACAUUUCACCAAAAAGAUACAUGAAAAGAUUCUCAAUAUCAUUAUUCACUGGGGAAAUGCAAAUUUCAGCCACAGUGAGAUACUAUUUUACAUCCCAGGAGGGUGAUAGUAAAAAAAAAAAUAGACAAUAAUAAUUGUUGAGGAUAUAGAGAAAUGGGUACUCUCAUACAUCUCCGGUGGAAAUGUAAGAUGGUUCAACACUUUGGGAAACAGUUGGGCAGUUUCUUAACAAGUUAAACAUAAAUUUACCUCAUAACCCAGAAAUUCUACUCCUAGGUAUCAACCCAAGAGAAAUGAAAACUUAUGACCACACAAAAACACAUAUAAGGAUGUUCAUAGCAGCAUUAUUCAUAAUAGGCAAAACAUGGAAACAUUCAAGUGUCCAUUAACUAAUGAAGGACUAAAUAAAACAUGAUAUUUCUACACAAUGGAAUACUACUUGGCAGUAAUAA